Molecule: ribosomal RNA, 65 nt
Filed under: Dolosigranulum pigrum
Lineage: Bacteria; Bacillati; Bacillota; Bacilli; Lactobacillales; Carnobacteriaceae
Description: partial 23S ribosomal RNA
Source: RNAcentral
CUCGAAGUGGAAGUGUGGUGACAUACGGAGCGGACGAGUACUAAUCGGUCGAGGACUUAACCAAA